RNAcentral lists this ribosomal RNA (366 nucleotides) under uncultured soil bacterium. RNAcentral's name for it is "bacterial SSU rRNA". It matches the Rfam family "Bacterial small subunit ribosomal RNA", at positions 26 to 388 of the family's 1533-position model. The record is from RNAcentral.
AGGACGAACGCUGGCGGCGUGCUUAACACAUGCAAGUCGAGCGGUAAGGCCUUUCGGGGUACACGAGCGGCGAACGGGUGAGUAACACGUGGGUGAUCUGCCCUGCACUCUGGGAUAAGCCUGGGAAACUGGGUCUAAUACCGGAUAUGACCUGCUCUCGCAGUGGGGGGGUGGGUGGAAAGAUUUUAUCGGUGCAGGAUGGGCCCGCGGCCUAUCAGCUUUGGUUGGUGGGGUAAUGGCCUACCAAGGCGACGACGGGUAGCCGACCUGAGAGGGUGACCGGCCACACUGGGACUGAGACGACGGCCCAGACUCCUACGGGAGGCAGCAGGUGGGAAUAUUGCACAAUGGGACGAAAGCCUAGAG